CGGGCUGUAGCGCAGUCUGGUAGCGCACUUGUAUGGGGUGCAAGUGGUCGCUGGUUCGAAUCCAGUCAGCCCGACCA
RNAcentral lists this transfer RNA (77 nucleotides) under Bacteriovoracaceae bacterium. RNAcentral's name for it is "tRNA-Pro". It matches the Rfam family "tRNA". From Rfam's summary of the family: Transfer RNA (tRNA) molecules are approximately 80 nucleotides in length. Their secondary structure includes four short double-helical elements and three loops (D, anti-codon, and T loops). Further hydrogen bonds mediate the characteristic L-shaped molecular structure. tRNAs have two regions of fundamental functional importance: the anti-codon, which is responsible for specific mRNA codon recognition, and the 3' end, to which the tRNAs corresponding amino acid is attached (by aminoacyl-tRNA synthetases). tRNAs cope with the degeneracy of the genetic code in two manners: having more than one tRNA (with a specific anti-codon) for a particular amino acid; and 'wobble' base-pairing, i.e. permitting non-standard base-pairing at the 3rd anti-codon position. Lineage: Bacteria; Pseudomonadati; Bdellovibrionota; Bacteriovoracia; Bacteriovoracales; Bacteriovoracaceae. The record is from RNAcentral.